GACGAACGCUGGCGGCGUGCUUAACACAUGCAAGUCGAACGGAAAGGCCCUGCUUUUGUGGGGUGCUCGAGUGGCGAACGGGUGAGUAACACGUGAGUAACCUGCCCUUGACUUUGGGAUAACUUCAGGAAACUGGGGCUAAUACCGGAUAGGAGCUCCUGCUGCAUGGUGGGGGUUGGAAAGUUUCGGCGGUUGGGGAUGGACUCGCGGCUUAUCAGCUUGUGGGUGGGGUAGUGGCUUACCAAGGCUUUGACGGGUAGCCGGCCUGAGAGGGUGACCGGCCACAUUGGGACUGAGAUACGGACCAGACUCCUACGGGAGGCAGCAGUGGGGAAUAUUGCACAAUGGGCGGAAGCCUGAUGCAGCAACGCCGCGUGCGGGAUGACGGCCUUCGGGUUGUAAACCGCUUUCGCCUGUGACGAAGCGUGAGUGACGGUAAUGGGUAAAGAAGCACCGGCUAACUACGUG
Molecule: ribosomal RNA, 468 nt
Filed under: uncultured bacterium
Lineage: Bacteria
Description: partial 16S ribosomal RNA
Rfam family: Bacterial small subunit ribosomal RNA
Source: RNAcentral